AGCGAACGCUGGCGGCAGGCUUAACACAUGCAAGUCGAGCGGGCACUUCGGUGUCAGCGGCAGACGGGUGAGUAACACGUGGGAACGUACCCUUUGGUUCGGAAUAACGCUGGGAAACUAGCGCUAAUACCGGAUACGCCCUUUUGGGGAAAGGCUUGCUGCCGAAGGAUCGGCCCGCGUCUGAUUAGCUAGUUGGUGGGGUAAUGGCCUACCAAGGCGACGAUCAGUAGCUGGUCUGAGAGGAUGAUCAGCCACACUGGGACUGAGACACGGCCCAGACUCCUACGAGAGGCAGCAGUGGGGAAUAUUGGACAAUGGGCGCAAGCCUGAUCCAGCCAUGCCGCGUGAGUGAUGAAGGCCUUAGGGUUGUAAAGCUCUUUUGUCCGGGACGAUAAUGACGUUACCGGAAGAAUAAGCCCCGGCUAACUUCGUG
RNAcentral lists this ribosomal RNA (433 nucleotides) under uncultured bacterium. RNAcentral describes it as "partial 16S ribosomal RNA". It matches the Rfam family "Bacterial small subunit ribosomal RNA", at positions 29 to 507 of the family's 1533-position model. The record is from RNAcentral.